Molecule: ribosomal RNA, 275 nt
Filed under: uncultured Pseudomonas sp.
Lineage: Bacteria; Pseudomonadati; Pseudomonadota; Gammaproteobacteria; Pseudomonadales; Pseudomonadaceae
Description: partial 16S ribosomal RNA
Rfam family: Bacterial small subunit ribosomal RNA
Source: RNAcentral
CCUUAGUUACCAGCACGUUAUGGUGGGCACUCUAAGGAGACUGCCGGGUGACAAACCGGAGGAAGGUGGGGAUGACGUCAAGUCAUCAUGGCCCUUACGGCCUGGGCUACACACGUGCUACAAUGGUCGGUACAAAGGGUUGCCAAGCCGCGAGGUGGAGCUAAUCCCAUAAAACCGAUCGUAGUCCGGAUCGCAGUCUGCAACUCGACUGCGUGAAGUCGGAAUCGCUAGUAAUCGUGAAUCAGAAUGUCACGGUGAAUACGUUCCCGGGCCUU